Molecule: long non-coding RNA, 581 nt
Organism: Metopolophium dirhodum (rose-grain aphid)
Lineage: Eukaryota; Metazoa; Arthropoda; Insecta; Hemiptera; Aphididae
Exons: 3
Source: RefSeq, a predicted model, not a curated record
UUAUCUUACAUAAAGUAUUAAUUCAUAUUAAUAUCGUUACCAACAAAUUUCAAGAAAAAACUGCAACCUUAGGUCAAUCUAAAAAUAUUAUUUAAGGUGUGAUGAUGAUUUUUUAAAUUUUAAGAACAACAGAAUAUUUUUCUCAGCUUUGGUGUGAAAUAGAAACCUUUGCUAAAGAUCAUGACAUAUCAAUACAAACACCGUUUAAAGGAUGUAAAAGAAAAAGACAAGAGCCAACAAUUUUUAAAAAUGUUGAUGUCACUGCAACCACAAGUGCUGAACAUAGUAUCAAUGAAACUAAUGAAACCACUGAAGGUUAUUUAAAAAAAAAAUGCUUUCUUUCCUGUAUUUGAUGCUAUCUUGGUAAAUCUGGAAAAAAGGUUUUCUCCUGAAAGUCUCCAAAUGGCUACAGCUGUUGAUCAAUUUUGUCAACUUAACUUUGAGGAAAGCGUUUUUUUUGUAGAUCAUUAUAAAGAUUUGAUGUGUGUAUCUAAAGAUUUACUAAAGUCAGAAAUGGCAGUGGUAUAGAAUUGCAUAUUUCAGUCUACUGACAAAGAAUAUAUACCUUUAAAUGAUGUAAA